CACGUAGGAGGCGAGCGUUGUCCGGAAUCAUUGGGCGUAAAGAGCGCGCAGGCGGCUUGGCAAGUCGGGUGUGAAAUCCCGGGGCUCAACCCCGGGACUGCAUUCGAUACUGUCAGGCUAGAGGUAGGUAGGGGAGAUCGGAAUUCCUGGUGUAGCAGUGAAAUGCGUAGAUAUCAGGAGGAACACCGAUGGCGAAGGCAGGUCUCUGGGCUGAAACUGACGCUCAUGCACGAAAGCGUGGGGAGCAAACAGG
RNAcentral lists this ribosomal RNA (253 nucleotides) under uncultured bacterium. RNAcentral's name for it is "partial 16S ribosomal RNA". It matches the Rfam family "Bacterial small subunit ribosomal RNA", at positions 524 to 776 of the family's 1533-position model. The record is from RNAcentral.